GAUGAACGCUGGCGGCGUGCUUAACACAUGCAAGUCGAACGGAAAGGCCAUGCUUUUGUGGGGUGCACGAGAGGCGAACGGGUGAGUAAAACGUGAGUAACCUGCCCUUGACUUUGGGAUAACUUCAGGAAACUGGGGCUAAUACCGGAUAGGAGCUCCUGCUGCAUGGUGGGGGUUGGAAAGUUACGGCGGUUGGGGAUGGACUAGCGGCUUAUCAGCUUGUUGGUGGGGUAGUGGCUUACAAAGGCUUUGACGGGUAGCCGGCCUGAGAGGGUGACCGGCCACAUUGGGACUGAGAUACGGCCCAGACUCCUACGGGAGGCAGCAGUGGGGAAUAUUGCACAAUGGGCGGAAGCCUGAUGCAGCAACGCCGCGUGCGGGAUGACGUCCUUCGGGUUGUAAACCGCUUUCUCCUGUGACGAAGCGUGAGUGACGGUAAUGGGUAAAGAAGCACCGGCUAACUACGUG
RNAcentral lists this ribosomal RNA (468 nucleotides) under uncultured bacterium. RNAcentral describes it as "partial 16S ribosomal RNA". It matches the Rfam family "Bacterial small subunit ribosomal RNA", at positions 28 to 507 of the family's 1533-position model. The record is from RNAcentral.